AGCCUCCUGAAUUUGUGCUAAGAUUAUGUUAGGCAUCAGACCAUCAGGAAUGAUGGGACUCCCAAGAUAGGCGAGGCG
RNAcentral lists this microRNA precursor (78 nucleotides) under Schistosoma margrebowiei. Its description in RNAcentral is "mir-3492 microRNA precursor family". It matches the Rfam family "mir-3492 microRNA precursor family". The record is from Rfam by way of RNAcentral. Lineage: Eukaryota; Metazoa; Platyhelminthes; Trematoda; Strigeidida; Schistosomatidae.